RNAcentral lists this ribosomal RNA (534 nucleotides) under Aerumnosa horrifica. Its description in RNAcentral is "partial 16S ribosomal RNA". The record is from RNAcentral. Lineage: Eukaryota; Metazoa; Arthropoda; Insecta; Diptera; Sciaridae.
GUUCUUUUGAGAUUAAUUUAAGGUCUAACCUGCCCAGUGAAUUUAAAUAAAUGUAAACGGCUGCAGUAUACUGACUGUACAAAGGUAGCAUAAUAAAUAGUUUUUUAAUUGAAAACUUGUAUGAAUGGUUGAAUGAGAUGCAAACUUUUUUAAUUUAAUUAAAUUAAUUUUACUUUUUAUUCAGAAGGAUAAAAUAUAUUUAAAAGACGAGAAGACCCUAUAGAGUUUUAUAUUUAUUUAAAUUUUUUUAUUAUAAGGAUUAGGGAAAACAAAUUUAUUUAAUUAUUUUGUUGGGGUGACAAGAAAAUAUAGAAAACUUUUUUAAAAGUAUAAUUUUAAAUUAAUUUUAAUUCAUUAAUAUAUGAAAAUUUGAUCCUUUAAUAAAGAUUAUAAAGUUAAAUUACCUUAGGGAUAACAGCGUAAUAAUAUUUUAAAGUUCUAAUUUACAGUAAUUUUUGCGACCUCGAUGUUGGAUUAAGAAAAUUAUUAGGGGCAGCAGUUUAAAUAAUAAGUCUGUUCGACUUUUAAAUUCUU